AGCGCAGGUGGUUGUAUAAGUCUGAAGUAAAAGGCAGUGGCUCAACCAUUGUGUGCUUUGGAAACUGUACAACUUGAGUGCAGAAGGGGAGAGUGGAAUUCCAUGUGUAGCGGUGAAAUGCGUAGAUAUAUGGAGGAACACCGGUGGCGAAGGCGGCUUGCUGGGCCUUUACUGACGCUGAGGCUCGAAAGCGUGGGAGCAAACA
RNAcentral lists this ribosomal RNA (205 nucleotides) under uncultured bacterium. RNAcentral describes it as "partial 16S ribosomal RNA". It matches the Rfam family "Bacterial small subunit ribosomal RNA", at positions 568 to 774 of the family's 1533-position model. The record is from RNAcentral.